Molecule: ribosomal RNA, 127 nt
Filed under: uncultured bacterium
Lineage: Bacteria
Description: partial 16S ribosomal RNA
Source: RNAcentral
GCCGUGGCUUUCUCAUGAGGUACCAUCACUUUCUUUUUCCCUCAUAACAGAAGUUUACAAUCCGAAGACCUUCAUCCUUCACGCGGCGUUGCUGGAUCAGGCUUUCGCCCAUUGUCCAAUAUUCCCC